UACGUAGGUGGCAAGCGUUGUCCGGAUUUACUGGGCGUAAAGGGCGUGCAGGCGGUUUGUUAAGUGCAGAGUGAAAGCUCCCGGCUCAACUGGGAGAGGUCUUUGCAUACUGGCAAACUCGAGGGAGGCAGAGGAAAGUGGAAUUCCCGGUGUAGUGGUGAUAUGCGUAGAUAUCGGGAGGAACACCUGUGGCGAAGGCGGCUUUCUGGGCCUUACCUGACGCUGAGGCGCGAAAGCGUGGGUAGCAAACAGG
This 253-nucleotide ribosomal RNA is filed under the name uncultured bacterium. RNAcentral's name for it is "partial 16S ribosomal RNA". It matches the Rfam family "Bacterial small subunit ribosomal RNA", at positions 524 to 776 of the family's 1533-position model. The record is from RNAcentral.